UUUUUUUUUUUUUUUUUUGAAUUGUUGGAAUAAUUACAAAAUUAACUAGAAACCAAGAGCAGCACAAGUCCUAUGUUGGGAAAAGCAAAGGCAGUUUUAAGACUAGGAUAAGUUUUUUUGCUUUAUUUCAAGGGUAUAUUAUUCAUUUUACUGAGUUUUGUUCCAUUCAGUUUACAAUGUGUGCAAACUUGUAUUGCAUGUUAUUGAUUGUCAUUUCUAAGCAGGAUGCAGUUGAAAUUAAUGUAUCGUCAAUAAUUAAUUUGAGAGUAUUAGAGAAAAGGUAG
RNAcentral lists this unclassified non-coding RNA (284 nucleotides) under Hevea brasiliensis (rubber tree). Lineage: Eukaryota; Viridiplantae; Streptophyta; Magnoliopsida; Malpighiales; Euphorbiaceae. The record is from RNAcentral.